This 301-nucleotide ribosomal RNA is filed under the name uncultured bacterium. RNAcentral describes it as "partial 16S ribosomal RNA". It matches the Rfam family "Bacterial small subunit ribosomal RNA", at positions 509 to 809 of the family's 1533-position model. The record is from RNAcentral.
CAGUCGCCACGGUAAUACGGAGGGAGCUAGCGUUGUUCGGAAUUACUGGGCGUAAAGCGCGCGUAGGCGGUUACUCAAGUCAGAGGUGAAAGCCCGGGGCUCAACCCCGGAACUGCCUUUGAAACUAGGUGACUAGAAUCUUGGAGAGGUCAGUGGAAUUCCGAGUGUAGAGGUGAAAUUCGUAGAUAUUCGGAAGAACACCAGUGGCGAAGGCGACUGACUGGACAAGUAUUGACGCUGAGGUGCGAAAGCGUGGGGAGCAAACAGGAUUAGAUACCCCCGUAGUCCCUGUCUCUUAUAA